This 433-nucleotide ribosomal RNA is filed under the name uncultured bacterium. Its description in RNAcentral is "bacterial SSU rRNA". It matches the Rfam family "Bacterial small subunit ribosomal RNA", at positions 9 to 444 of the family's 1533-position model. The record is from RNAcentral.
GAGUUUGAUCGUGGCUCAGAUUGAACGCUGGCGGCAGGCCUAACACAUGCAAGUCGAGCGGUAGAGAGAAGCUUGCUUCUCUUGAGAGCGGCGGACGGGUGAGUAAUGCCUAGGAAUCUGCCUGGUAGUGGGGGAUAACGCUCGGAAACGGACGCUAAUACCGCAUACGUCCUACGGGAGAAAGCAGGGGACCUUCGGGCCUUGCGCUAUCAGAUGAGCCUAGGUCGGAUUAGCUAGUUGGUGAGGUAAUGGCUCACCAAGGCGACGAUCCGUAACUGGUCUGAGAGGAUGAUCAGUCACACUGGAACUGAGACACGGUCCAGACUCCUACGGGAGGCAGCAGUGGGGAAUAUUGGACAAUGGGCGAAAGCCUGAUCCAGCCAUGCCGCGUGUGUGAAGAAGGUCUUCGGAUUGUAAAGCACUUUAAGUUGGG